UCAUUUGGCUGGCAGCAGAUAACUCGGCAAACUCAAUCGAUAAAGGAGACCUUUCUGCACAGCGUGAGGCCAGAGAGUACCACAGAGCACAGCAGACAGGUUCCCUGUGGAUUUUAAUUAUUGUCCCCUGCUCUCUGCAGAAUACCAAGACCUGCUGAAAAGGAUCAUCUAGGAGAUGUUCAGAAGUGCUUUUUUGACAAGCUGUUGCCAUUCAGAACAAAU
Sceloporus undulatus (fence lizard) is the source of this 222-nucleotide long non-coding RNA. RefSeq lists it as uncharacterized. The record is from RefSeq and is a predicted model, not a curated record. The transcript has 3 exons. Lineage: Eukaryota; Metazoa; Chordata; Lepidosauria; Squamata; Phrynosomatidae.